Long non-coding RNA from Lutra lutra (Eurasian river otter), 1110 nucleotides. RefSeq lists it as uncharacterized. Lineage: Eukaryota; Metazoa; Chordata; Mammalia; Carnivora; Mustelidae. The record is from RefSeq and is a predicted model, not a curated record. The transcript is spliced from 3 exons.
AGGCUCCCCACCAAGCAGAGAGCCUGAUGCGGGGCUCGAUCCCAGGACCCUGGGAUCAUGACCUGAGCCAAAGACAGAGGCUUUAACCCACUGAGCCACCCAGGCGCCCCUGGACAGUUUCUAUUGAGGUGCCUACAAGACAAGCCGGUGAAGACGGAUGGGUCUCGUGGACUCAGAAGACCAUCGGGGUGGAGAUAACAUACUGGCAAGUCAGCAGCAAAAAGAAGGUGUCAGAGACUUCGCCAGGUAACCCCGGGGGAACCAGAAAAUCUGGAUGGGAAAUAGAGGAGUUCCCAAGACAGAACCAGCCUUGCAUAUCUGAAAGGGCAUUAAGGAGCCAGCCACCGGGACUGAGAAUUACCUGCCAUGGAGGAAGGUGGGAAACCAAGCACGUGGUGUCCCGGAAGCCAAGAGAGAAAAGUUUCGGGGAAGGAGGGGGAUCAGUUACGUCACAUGCUGUUGAAAGGUACAGUAUUAUGGGGACAGAGGACCGUCCACUGGAUUCUGCCAUGGUGACAACCCUGAACAGAAGUGUUCCAGCAGAGCAGCGAGGACAGAAGCCCUGUUGGGAGCGAGUGUGGGCAUGGGCUCCUGGAAAGUCAGGCAGAUGAGCGAACUAGUCCUGAAUUUUGCCACUGCAUGACUUCUGGUGCCUGGGUCACCUUUUUUGUUGUCCCUUCCCCUCCACAGUGUGAUGUCCAUCACCGUGUCGGACAAGUUUCCUUCAUUAGCCAGUCCCCAGGUGCCCCCAAUCUCUCCACUGUAAAUGCACCUGUUUGCAGCGAUGUCAUGUCACAAAGUGGAGAAGUCUUGCUGGAUGAAUUCUACUUGUUUCCAAAGGCACAGAAAUGGACCGAUCUUAGCCCGAAGCAGGGGUUUUUCACAAACACGCGCUGAAUGUCGGAAUCAGUGAUUGCUGGGUUGGAGAAACCCUGGAUUUUGCCAGAAUGCUCCUGCUCCAGACCCAAGCCUGCAGGGAGCCGGGAAUGGAAUCCGAAACAUGUGACGCGGCAGGUCCUGAUGCAGGGGUCAGACCUACUAGCCAUGUGAUCUCAGCUGGGCUAGGAGUGGUGCCAGUUAGGUCUGGAAAAAGUAGGACGUUGGUGGCAG